UUGAAUCAGACGACUGUAUUC
This 21-nucleotide non-coding RNA is filed under the name Caenorhabditis elegans. The record is from RNAcentral. Lineage: Eukaryota; Metazoa; Nematoda; Chromadorea; Rhabditida; Rhabditidae.